GACGAACGCUGGCGGCGUGCCUAAUACAUGCAAGUCGAACGCAUUUUCUUUCACCGUAGCUUGCUACACCGAAAGAAAAUGAGUGGCGAACGGGUGAGUAACACGUGGGUAACCUGCCCAUCAGCGGGGGAUAACACUUGGAAACAGGUGCUAAUACCGCAUAAUUCCAUUUACCGCAUGGUAGAUGGAUGAAAGGCGCUUUUGCGUCACUGAUGGAUGGACCCGCGGUGCAUUAGCUAGUUGGUGGGGUAACGGCCUACCAAGGCUGCGAUGCAUAGCCGACCUGAGAGGGUGAUCGGCCACACUGGGACUGAGACACGGCCCAGACUCCUACGGGAGGCAGCAGUAGGGAAUCUUCGGCAAUGGACACAAGUCUGACCGAGCAACGCCGCGUGAGUGAAGAAGGUUUUCGGAUCGUAAAACUCGGUUGUUAGAGAAGAACAAGGAUGAGAGUGGAAAGUUCAUCCCUUGACGGUAUCUAACCAGAAAGCCACGGCUAACUACGUG
This 507-nucleotide ribosomal RNA is filed under the name uncultured bacterium. Its description in RNAcentral is "partial 16S ribosomal RNA". It matches the Rfam family "Bacterial small subunit ribosomal RNA", at positions 28 to 507 of the family's 1533-position model. The record is from RNAcentral.